Molecule: ribosomal RNA, 275 nt
Filed under: uncultured Acidovorax sp.
Lineage: Bacteria; Pseudomonadati; Pseudomonadota; Betaproteobacteria; Burkholderiales; Comamonadaceae
Description: partial 16S ribosomal RNA
Rfam family: Bacterial small subunit ribosomal RNA
Source: RNAcentral
AUAAAAGCUUACCAAGCCGACGAUCUGUAGCUGGUCUGAGAGGACGACCAGCCACACUGGGACUGAGACACGGCCCAGACUCCUACGGGAGGCAGCAGUGGGGAAUUUUGGACAAUGGGCGCAAGCCUGAUCCAGCCAUGCCGCGUGAGUGAAGAAGGCCUUCGGGUUGUAAAGCUCUUUCGGACGGGAAGAAAUGGCGGGCUCUAACAUAGCCUGUCGAUGACGGUACCGUAAGAAGAAGCACCGGCUAACUACGUGCCAGCAGCCGCGGUAAU